UGGGGAAUAUUGCGCAAUGGGCGGAAGCCUGACGCAGCGACGCCGCGUGAGGGAUGACGGCCUUCGGGUUGUAAACCUCUUUCAGCUCUGACGAAGCGCAAGUGACGGUAGGAGCAGAAGAAGCACCGGCCAACUACGUGCCAGCAGCCGCGGUAAUACGUAGGGUGCAAGCGUUGUCCGGAAUUAUUGGGCGUAAAGAGCUCGUAGGCGGUCUGUCGCGUCGAAUGUGAAAACCCGGGGCUCAACCCCGGGCCUGCAUUCGAUACGGGCAGACUAGAGUUCGGUAGGGGAGUCUGGAAUUCCUGGUGUAGCGGUGAAAUGCGCAGAUAUCAGGAGGAACACCGGUGGCGAAGGCGGGACUCUGGGCCGAUACUGACGCUGAGGAGCGAAAGCGUGGGGAGCAAACAGGAUUAGAUACCCCCGUAGUCC
RNAcentral lists this ribosomal RNA (429 nucleotides) under uncultured bacterium. Its description in RNAcentral is "bacterial SSU rRNA". It matches the Rfam family "Bacterial small subunit ribosomal RNA", at positions 355 to 796 of the family's 1533-position model. The record is from RNAcentral.